UACGUAGGUGGCAAGCGUUGUCCGGAUUUACUGGGCGUAAAGAGCGCGCAGGCGGUCGUUCAAGUCGCGUGUGAAAGCCCCCGGCUCAACUGGGGAGGGUCACGCGAUACUGAUCGACUCGAAGGCAGGAGAGGGUAGUGGAAUUCCCGGUGUAGUGGUGAAAUGCGUAGAUAUCGGGAGGAACACCAGUGGCGAAGGCGGGUCUCUGGGCAGUAACUGACGCUGAGGAGCGAAAGCGUGGGGAGCGAACAGG
RNAcentral lists this ribosomal RNA (253 nucleotides) under uncultured bacterium. RNAcentral's name for it is "partial 16S ribosomal RNA". It matches the Rfam family "Bacterial small subunit ribosomal RNA", at positions 524 to 776 of the family's 1533-position model. The record is from RNAcentral.